RNAcentral lists this ribosomal RNA (253 nucleotides) under uncultured bacterium. RNAcentral describes it as "partial 16S ribosomal RNA". It matches the Rfam family "Bacterial small subunit ribosomal RNA", at positions 524 to 776 of the family's 1533-position model. The record is from RNAcentral.
UACGUAGGGUGCGAGCGUUGUCCGGAAUUAUUGGGCGUAACGGGCUCGUAGGCGGUUUGUCGCGUCGGGAGUGAAAUCCACUGGCUUAACUGGUGGCUUGCUUUCGAUACGGGCAGACUGGAGGUAUGCAGGGGAGAACGGAAUUCCUGGUGUAGCGGUGAAAUGCGCAGAUAUCAGGAGGAACACCGGUGGCGAAGGCGGUUCUCUGGGCAUGUCCUGACGCUGAGGAGCGAAAGUGUGGGGAGCGAACAGG